UGCAAGUCGAACGAAGUAGCAAUACUUAGUGGCAGACGGGUGAGUAACAUGUGGGUAUCUUCCCUAUGGUGAGGAAUAACACGAGGAAACUUGUGCUAAUACCUCAUAAGUCUUUACGGAGAAAGCUUUAUGCGCCAUUGGAUGAGCCCGCACUUGAUUAGUUUGUUGGUAGGGUAAUGGCCUACCAAGACUGUGAUCAAUAGCUGAUUUGAGAGGAUGAUCAGCCACAUUGGGACUGAGACACGGCCCAAACUCCUACGGGAGGCAGCAGUAAGGAAUCUUGCACAGUGGAGGAAACUCUGAUGCAGCGAUGCCGCGUGAGUGAAGAAGGCCCUUGGGUUGUAAAGCUCUUUCGUCGGGGAAGAAAAUGACUGUACCCGAAUAAGAAGGUCCGGCUAACUUCGUGCCAGCAGCCGCGGUAAUACGAAGGGACCUAGCGUAGUUCGGAAUUACUGGGCUUAAAGAGUUCGUAGGUGGUUAAAAAUGUUGGUGGUGAAAUCCCAGAGCUUAACUCUGGAACUGCCAUCAAAACUUUUUAGCUAGAGUAUGAUAGAGGAAAGCAGAAUUUCUAGUGUAGAGGUGAAAUUCGUAGAUAUUAGAAAGAAUACCAAUUGCGAA
This 618-nucleotide ribosomal RNA is filed under the name uncultured marine bacterium. RNAcentral describes it as "bacterial SSU rRNA". It matches the Rfam family "Bacterial small subunit ribosomal RNA", at positions 56 to 719 of the family's 1533-position model. The record is from RNAcentral.